RNAcentral lists this transfer RNA (73 nucleotides) under Bos grunniens (domestic yak). It matches the Rfam family "tRNA". Rfam says of the family: Transfer RNA (tRNA) molecules are approximately 80 nucleotides in length. Their secondary structure includes four short double-helical elements and three loops (D, anti-codon, and T loops). Lineage: Eukaryota; Metazoa; Chordata; Mammalia; Artiodactyla; Bovidae. RNAcentral also lists the same sequence under 3 other names. The record is from Rfam by way of RNAcentral.
UCCCUGGUGGUCCAGUGGGUAAGACUCUGUGCUUCCAAAGCAGGAAGUUUGGUUUUGAUUCCUGACUGGGGAA